Molecule: long non-coding RNA, 848 nt
Filed under: Ananas comosus (pineapple)
Lineage: Eukaryota; Viridiplantae; Streptophyta; Magnoliopsida; Poales; Bromeliaceae
Description: long non-coding RNA (ACOM_LNC003262)
Source: RNAcentral
GGCCAAGCAACCAGAUCAUGUACAAUUAAGCACCCAGGAAAUUUGCUUAAAUAACAUACAUGAUCAAAUACGAUGCACACAAGUGCAAUACAUCUAAGAGCAAGAACCACAAGUGAUAUACAAGUGUAUAAAGAGAGAUAGUCUAACUAUCACAAUCGUUCAACAUUUACAUUAUUUGAACAUAUUAUAUUUUCAUCUUCCAAAAUGUAAGUACAUGUUUUCUUCAAAAUACAAGUAGCUCUCUGAUAUCUAUCCAAAAUAUCAACUAGUACGCGAGGGUACUCUAAUGCAUAAGGAAAAGCUACUAACUAGGCUCACUUAGGGCGCUAUGCCCUUACCGCGGUCCUCGCUCGGCUCGCCUCUAUGUGUACCUGUACCCCAAAACCACACGGGGUGAGAACUAUAUAAAUAUAGUUCCCAGUGGGUUCGGCCGCCGACGCCGCCGGUUUUCCCACUAGGUCUAAGCUGGCACAGAUAGAGAGAUAGAUAGAUANUGGUCUCCAAGUGUCAUAGGAAACUUAGCCUCCAAGUUUCAUAGGAAACUUGGCCUCCAAGUUAUCUAGGAAACUUGGCCUCCAAGUUAUCCAAGAACACUAUUCACAUUCGGUUUAGCAGCACGGUACAGAUAUAUAUCGUUUGCCCUGUCUCUCACAGAAAAUUCUAAAUCUUCUGUUUUCGCUUCCAUUUCAACACGGGUCACUCUAGACUUAUAAUUUAUGUCUAUAAGUCCAAUAAAAAUAGUAUCCCACACUAUUUUUAUUUAUUUUCACUUUUACAUUUAAAAUCCGGUACCUUACAGCUACAACUCAAAUCUCCCGAUUUAUGGUCGCCGAUUUCCCUCGACCCAU